Molecule: ribosomal RNA, 286 nt
Filed under: uncultured bacterium
Lineage: Bacteria
Description: partial 16S ribosomal RNA
Rfam family: Bacterial small subunit ribosomal RNA
Source: RNAcentral
GAUGAACGCUAGCGGUAUGCUUUACGCAUGCAAGUUGAACGGAAAUUUAAAAAAUUUUAGUGGCGAACGGGUGAGUAAUGCGUGAGAAUUCACCUUUAGGAGGGGAACACCAAUUAGAAAUAAUUGUUAAUGCCCCAUAUUGCUUUUAAAGUGAAAUAGAAUUUAUCUGCCUAAAGAGAAGCUCACGUCUGAUUAACUUGUUGGUAAGGUAAUAGCUUACCAAGGUGAUGAUCAGUAGUUGGUUUGAGAGAAUGAUCAGCCACACUGGAACUGAGAAACGGUCCAG